GACGAACGCUGGCGGCGUGCUUAACACAUGCAAGUCGAACGGAAAGGCCCUGCUUUUGUGGGGUGCUCGAGUGGCGAACGGGUGAGUAACACGUGAGUAACCUGCCCUUGACUUUGGGAUAACUUCAGGAAACUGGGGCUAAUACCGGAUAGGAGCUCCUGCUGCAUGGUGGGGGUUGGAAAGUUUCGGCGGUUGGGGAUGGACUCGCGGCUUAUCAGCUUGUUGGUGGGGUAGUGGCUUACCAAGGCUUUGACGGGUAGCCGGCCUGGGAGGGUGACAGGCCACAUUGUGACUGAGAUACGGCCAAGACUCAUUCGGGAGGAAGCAGUGGGGAAUAUUGCACAAUGGGCGGAAGCCUGAUGCAGCAACGCCGCGUGCGAGAUGACGGCUUUCGGGUUGUAAACCGCUUUCGCCUGUGACGAAGCGUGAGUGACGGUAAUAGGUAAAGAAGCACCGGCAAACUACGU
Molecule: ribosomal RNA, 467 nt
Filed under: uncultured bacterium
Lineage: Bacteria
Description: partial 16S ribosomal RNA
Rfam family: Bacterial small subunit ribosomal RNA
Source: RNAcentral